UAUAGCUCACAUAUAUACUCAAAUGUAUAACCCCAAACUUUAAUAUUUUCUAGUUUAUCUUUGCCGUCGGCACUUGGAGCACUCCUCUGCUUAUCUAAGGGCAACUCACCUGGUAUGCGUUGCAUGAUCUGUUGACGGUACAGCUCAUGGGCCAAUUGCUGCUGCAUGCGCAUAUCCAUUAAAUCGUGCAUGGACAACAUUGUGCAAAAGUUCAGUUUUGGAGUUUCGAAAUUCCACUGCCAUAUACAGCCAGUUGCUGUUUAUUUGCCAGAUUGCUGAGCAUAGCUGCCCGUAAAAUAUAUACAUUUUGGGUCUGGUCUCAGGUUCUCAACUAUUGAUUAGUGCUUGUCAGCGCUGAAAAUUGCUUCUAAUCGCAGUUGGUUCGCAUUUCCCGAAAACCUAAUCACAAGGCACAAGUAGGCUACAGGAAGUCAGCAUGAAUGUAAAAAUUAUUGACUGUCCUACGGAUCAUAGGUAAAAUAAUUAAAAUAUUACAUACAGGCUAAGGAUCUGCGUUUUCAGGGCAAGUUUAAUUUAAAGCAAACGAGACAGAGCAUAAAUUGAAGGACUAUUUCAUGGUCUAAGCAGAUGUAAUGCGAUUAAUACUACUUUAGAUAUCCACCUCAAUUAGGUACAUACAUGGGAAAUACUUUGUUCAGAUUGUGCCAAAACAACUUUGAUUUGACACUGAUCUUGAUGGCAAAUAUAAAUUUAGAUAUUUUUGUAUACACCCAAGCCUCCUCAUCUCCAGAUCCCCCAUUUCAAGGCAGCGACACUUUCUUGGGAAUGCCCGAAUACAAUUUGCACUUCUCUUCAAGCGCUACGGCCAAAUCACAUUUCAUUGCCAAGAAAUAAUUUCGGGCUUGACUUCACUGCAAACGGACUAGAAACGAUUCCAGCUAAACGCAGUGCAAAUUUCGCUUGGCGCAAUCACAAAAUAUCAAUUUGGACACAUUAGCAAAUUUAGUCGCUGUAGACGGCAUAUUUCCGGUGAACCAGUUCCCAAGCCCGAGCCCUAUCCCAAUCCCAGACUGGUGACGUGACGUCGGGCGCCAGUGCAUCGUAAAAUAUUUGUACAAAUAGCAGCAAAACUUUAUUUGACAAAAAAAAAAAACAAAA
Long non-coding RNA from Drosophila montana, 1119 nucleotides. RefSeq lists it as uncharacterized. The record is from RefSeq and is a predicted model, not a curated record. The transcript is spliced from 2 exons. NCBI's taxonomy places the organism in Eukaryota, Metazoa, Arthropoda, Insecta, Diptera, Drosophilidae.